GUGAUGAAUGUAUUGAUUGCAUAAUGGCUUAUUAAAGUUUGAUACAUUAACACAAUAUUUUAUAAAGUCUAUAAAAAAAAAUAAACACUAAUAAUAAUUAAGCCACAAGUUUUAUUAAGAAAAAUCAUAAACAUCAAAAUAAAAAAAAGAUGUGUUUUAAGUUAUAAUGCAGGAGAACAAUACCGUUUCUAUGAGGUUAAUGGUUUUAUUUAAUUUAUCUGCCAUCCAUUGCAUGAUAACAAUUUCAUUGUGACCACACGUCACUCACAUUCUGCUUAUGCAGUUUACCAAAAAUGAAGCAUUGUACCUCUAUUGUGGUUUCGGAAACACUUAUUACCGAGGGUACUUCAUUUGCGUAUUGCGACUUCGGUGACUCCGUUGGGAGUAGGGACAAGCGUUGUACACAAUUAUGUUCGCAGGAGUGUUGCGACAGCUGUCUGCCCGGUGCCUCUUUUUGGCCUCAAAAUUGGCCGUCAUUGCUCUGUUAUAGGUGGCCGAGGUUGCUUUGAAAAUAGUUGAAUUCAUACUCAGGGCGGUUCCUGGUCGAAUAUAUUCAGAUACGGUUACAGGACGCGACUGUAAAGUGACGAUAACAGGUCACGAGGGCACAGCGUUAACACGUCUCGAAGGCUAUAAAACUACAAUGGCGGGUUCAAGAAAAAUCGAGAAGUUGGUUGGAAGAGAACGGGUUUUUGUGGCAGACCAGGAGAGACUGUUUUAUGGGGACCACGGACAUUGUUUUGCAGGACUUGGUUAAGGUUCCGCACGCCGAAUUCUUAAACUCGAGGACAACGUGGAGUUUGCAGCUAGUGGUGAUAUUUUGUGGUAGAGAAGGAACUAUUAUGUAUUAUUAUGACUGAAUUAAUUUGACGAGGCGAGUUACUGCCGAGACGGGUUUGCGGCUCACUGACUCAUAAGACAGACAAACUGUACUAUUGUGGAAAGAAAGCCGACUAUAGAGAUAGAUCGGUUGACCACCGAAAUUAUCGUUUAUUUCUACUUUGGCUGCUAAAAACUGAUAAUCCGUUUAGUUGUUGCAUUUUUAGAUCCAUCGUGUCGUUAUUAUAAUACACGAAAUGGUACAGUUCACGGUUUAGUUGUUCGAAGAACGUCAAAGCGAUUUCCGCUAUUUAUGGUUCAGGCAAAUCCAUUACGACGAUUUUAGCACAAACGCCGUGAAAAUCGUCUUGUAAUUCUGUGACUGUAGAACACAUAUGGAUACAAUAAAUCUUAUUCAAAUGACUGAUUCUUAAUGAGAAAAAAAGAUUUUAAUAUAGCGAAGGAUAAUAUGUCAGAACAGAACACAAAUUGGUAAUAAAUAUAAAAUUAGGUGAUGUAUUGUUUAAGAACAAUUUGUUUGUUUUUGUUUGUGUUGAGUUUUUAUAAGACUGUCUUAAGUCAUUUUGGAGAUGAUAUAUUUUGAAUAAAAACGCUUUAUAAUAAUAUUUUAAUUAAUUUUAAUUUAAAGUUGGUAGACAUUUAUUUAAGGAGGCAUAAAUGUACGACAGUUCACAAAUUCACUCACCUGACUCAUGUUGAAGUAGGUAAUUCAUUUUUUUUAAACUAAACAUUUCCUAAAAUAAAAAAAAAAAAAAAAAACAGAUGUAAAUAUUUUUUUAUGUAGUAUUCAAUCAUAUUUGACAUUUUUAUCAGAGCAGAUGAAAUAAGUAUUUCAUUUUUUUUUAAAUGUAAAUUGUACCUAUACAAGUUAACGACCAGUUUAAAAUGUUAUUUUAAUAUCAUUUAAAAAUUAGUUUGAAGAAAAUAUUUUUAUCUAUUUCCUGGAACUCAAAAAAAUACGUUUGCACUCUGAAAUUAGUAAGGUGUCCAAGGCGUUUACUCAGAUGACACAUAUGUUUUAUAAUUUAUAAUAAUAGGUAUUAUGUUUAUUGCAUUGUACGCGAGUAUAAUGCGUCGUGUGUGUGUGAUAGAGCCAUUAGAUCAUCAAGAGAGCCGCCUUUGGUGGAAAAUGAUUGAUGAACGUGUAGGUAUACGCUCGCGUUUUACCAUUUAUAUGGUCUAUCGUCACGAAGAUCAUCGUCCGACGAAUUCGCAAACGUCUGAAAAUCUGUCAUCCAGUUGGUGUUAUAUCUAUACGACAACCAGCAAAAUGACUUUGCAUCGUUUUGAAUGACUUUUGCGAGUAUACCCAUUACUCACCUACAUAAUAUACACACAUGCUAUGGUUAUAAUACGACGUGGUUUUUGGCAAUUAAACGCGCUGUAAACAUUGGUAUAG
This is a long non-coding RNA of Aphis gossypii (cotton aphid), 2239 nucleotides long. RefSeq lists it as uncharacterized. The record is from RefSeq and is a predicted model, not a curated record. NCBI's taxonomy places the organism in Eukaryota, Metazoa, Arthropoda, Insecta, Hemiptera, Aphididae. The transcript has 2 exons.